GGGUGUCCCCGUGUCCCCAGGGAUGGGAAAAGCCACACUGGGGUGUCACCAUGUCCCCAAUGCUGAGGAGGUUUGGGGUGCCUGGGAUUGGGAUGUCCCCAUGUCCCCAGUACUGGGAAAAGCCACCCUGGGAUGUCCCCAUGACCCAAACAUUGGGAAAAGCCACCCUGGGGUGUCACCAUGUCCCCAAAGCUGGGAAAAACCACACUGGGGUGUCACCAUGUCCCAAACAUUGGGAAAAGCCACCUUGGGGUGUCCCCAAAGCUGGGAAAAACCACACUGGGGUGUCCCUGUGUCCCCAGGGCUGGGAAAAGCCACCUGGGGGUGUCACCAUGUCCCAAACAUUGGGAAAAGCCACCAUGGGGUGUCACCAUGUCCCAAACAUUGGGAAAAGCCACCCUGGGGUGUCACCAUGUCCCCAGGGCUGGGAACAACCACCUUGGGGUGUCACCAUGACCCAAACAUUGGGAAAAGCCACUCUGGGAUGUCCCGGUGUCCCCAAAGCUGGAAGAGCCACUUUGGGGUGUCCCCAAUGCUGGGAAGGACCACCUUGGGGUGUCACCAUGUCCCAAACACUGGGAAGAUCCACUUUGGGGUGUCUCCAUGUCCCCAAAAGUGGGGAAAGCCACCUGGGGGUGUCCCCGUGUCCCCAAUGCUGAGGAGGUUUGGGGUGGCUGGGAUUGGGAUGUCCCUGUGUCCCCAAAGCUGGGAAAAGCCACCUUGGGGUGUCACCAUGUCCCAAACAUUGGGAAAAGCCACCCUGGGGUGUCCCUGUGUCCCCAAAGCUGGGAAAAGCCACCUUGGGGUGUCACCAUGUCCCAAACACUGGGAAAAGCCACCUUGGGGUGUCCCCAAUGCUGAGGAGGUUUGGGGUGGCUGGGAUUGGGAUGCCCCAAUGUCCCCAAUACUGGGAAAAGCCACCUUGGGGUGUCACCAUGACCCAAACAUUGGGAAAAGCCACCUGGGGGUGUCCCGAUGUCAUCAACACUGGGAAGGGCCACCCUGGGGUGUCCCCAUGUCCCCAAAGCUGGGAAAAGCCACCCUGGGGUGUCCCCUGUCCCCAACUCUAAUGAGGUUUUUAGGGGUUCUUCUGGAAACCCCUUCUUGUAGGGAAACCCUUUCUUUCGGGCCAAAACCUUUCCUUUUGGGGCCAGAAAUCUUUCUUUUGGGGGCUGGAAACUUUUCCUUUUGGGGACCAGGAACCCUUUGUUGGGGGGCUGGNUUCUUUUGGGGGCUGGAAACUUUUCCUUUUGGGGACCAGGAACCCUUUGUUGGGGGGCUGGAAAUCCUUUUUUUGGGGGUGCUGAAAGCUCCCCCUUUCCUUGUAGGGAAACCCUUUCUUUUGGGGCCAAAACCUUUCCUUUUGGGGUUGGAAACCUUUUCAUUGUGGGCUUGGUGACCCUUUGAUUUUGGGGCCAGAAAGCCAUGGUUUUGGGGCUGGAAACUCUUUCCUUUUGGGGCUGGAAACCCUUUCUUUUAGGGCUGGAAGCUCUUCCUUUUGGGGCGAGAAACCCUCUUUUUGGGAGCCAGAAACUCUUUGUUUUUGGGGCCAGAAACCCUUUUUUGGGAGACCAGAACCCCUUUUUUUGGAAACCAGAACCCCUUUGUUUUUGGGGUCAGAACCCCUUUUUUGGGAGCAGGAAACAAUUCCAGGUUUUCCCCUCAGAGCUCAGCCCCAGGAUCCCACCCAGAGCCCCGUAACCC
Molecule: long non-coding RNA, 1704 nt
Organism: Zonotrichia albicollis (white-throated sparrow)
Lineage: Eukaryota; Metazoa; Chordata; Aves; Passeriformes; Passerellidae
Source: Ensembl